CGGGACGGGUGGGUAAUGUCUGGGAAACGUGCCCGGUGGAGGGGGAUAACUACUGGAAACGGUAGCUAAUACCGCAUAACGUCGCAAGACCAAGAGGGGGACCUUCGGGCCUCUUGCCAUCGGAUGUGCCCAGAUGGGAUUAGCUAGUAGGUGGGGUAACGGCUCACCUAGGCGACGAUCCCUAGCUGGUCUGAGAGGAUGACCAGCCACACUGGAACUGAGACACGGUCCAG
RNAcentral lists this ribosomal RNA (233 nucleotides) under uncultured bacterium. RNAcentral's name for it is "partial 16S ribosomal RNA". It matches the Rfam family "Bacterial small subunit ribosomal RNA", at positions 100 to 334 of the family's 1533-position model. The record is from RNAcentral.